This 253-nucleotide ribosomal RNA is filed under the name uncultured bacterium. RNAcentral's name for it is "partial 16S ribosomal RNA". It matches the Rfam family "Bacterial small subunit ribosomal RNA", at positions 524 to 776 of the family's 1533-position model. The record is from RNAcentral.
UACGUAGGGUGCAAGCGUUGUCCGGAUUUACUGGGCGUAAAGCGCUCGCAGGUGGUUCGAUACGUCGUGCGUGAAAGACCCCGGCUCAACUGGGGAGGGUCGUGCGAUACGGUCGGACUGGAGGCCAGUAGGGGGAUGCGGAAUUCCGGGUGUAGUGGUGGAAUGCGUAGAGAUCUGGAGGAACACCAGCGGCGAAGGCGGCAUCCUGGACUGGUCCUGACACUCAUGAGCGAAAGCGUGGGGAGCGAUCCGG